CACGUAGGGCGCAAGCGUUGUCCGGAAUUAUUGGGCGUAAAGAGCUCGUAGGCGGUUUGUCACGUCUGCUGUGAAAACUGGAGGCUCAACCUCCAGCCUGCAGUGGGUACGGGCAGACUAGAGUGCGGUAGGGGAGAUUGGAAUUCCUGGUGUAGCGGUGGAAUGCGCAGAUAUCAGGAGGAACACCGAUGGCGAAGGCAGAUCUCUGGGCCGUAACUGACGCUGAGGAGCGAAAGCGUGGGGAGCAAACAGG
RNAcentral lists this ribosomal RNA (253 nucleotides) under uncultured bacterium. RNAcentral describes it as "partial 16S ribosomal RNA". It matches the Rfam family "Bacterial small subunit ribosomal RNA", at positions 524 to 776 of the family's 1533-position model. The record is from RNAcentral.